AUCAAUAUUUACAGCUCUGUCUGGGAAUGAUGCUCUCAAAAGUCAGAAAUGCAGUUAAAAGGGUCCUAAAUGUACCAUUUAACUACAAAAUGUAAACUAUGAUGAGAAGCAGAUGAUAUCAGGCCAAGGCUACUUGUGCAAUGCGACUGAAUUAAAGACAGAGGCAAGAGGCAGAUCAAGACUGAUUUCUUUUCAAAGCUUCAUUGUGACACGUGUUUGGUCAAGCAAGAGUUUCUGGAAAGACCAGCUUUACUGAAUGAUACCUUCUUCUGGUAGACAAACAAAGAAAGACAAUGAGAUCAAUGUUAUUUGUAUAACCAGUGGUCCUUGUGAAUGGGCGGCACAGAGGCACUGUUGCCUUACAGUAAGAAGGUCCCUGGCUCUAGGCCCGGCUAGGUCAGGUGGCUUUCUGUGUGUAGUUGUGCAUGUUCUUCCUGUGUCAGAUUGGGUUUACUCCAGGUACUCCCACAGGCUAAAAACAUGCAAGUUAUGUGAACUGAGGAUACCAAAUUGUCCGUCUUGUAACCUGUGUAUGGAUUAACCAGUUCGCACUGUGAAUACAGCCAUAGAUGCUGGAAUGGCAUGAAGAAUAAAGAAAGA
Misgurnus anguillicaudatus (oriental weatherfish) is the source of this 600-nucleotide non-coding RNA. The record is from RefSeq and is a predicted model, not a curated record. NCBI's taxonomy places the organism in Eukaryota, Metazoa, Chordata, Actinopteri, Cypriniformes, Cobitidae.